CGUUUUCUUAGAGUGUAUUUGUAGGGAAAAAGAAUACGUAUACGCACGUACAGUUGUUAGGGGUCGGAUUGGGCCUACUUGGCCCAAUGCCCAAACCCAAGUCAAAAACCCAAAAUAAGUUCCAAACCAAGGAGUAUUAAGGCGAAGGGUAGUUUCGUCAAAUCCCUCGAUGAAUGCCCUACACGCAUAGUGCUAUAAAUACCGAAUAGCAUGUCCUGUCACGAGGGGGGAUUCCGCCAGGACACUUAGAGACAAAGAAUAGCCCGUCUCAAGUAGCUCGUCAGCUCACCCUUCUCAAGUAGCUCGUCCGUCUAAAGUAGCUUGUCAGCUCGCCCUUCUCAAGAAGCUCGUUAGCUCGCUCCUCAUCGCCAAGCUCUUCAGCUCGCCUUUAAGCUCUUCAAGCUCCUCGGCUCGUCCUCAAGCUCGUCCUCAAGCUCCUCAGCUCGUCUUCAAGCUCUUCCCAUCACUCAGCGACCAUCUCCUCGCCUAGCUGUCAGCUAGUCAGCUCGUCCAACUCGUCUAGCUAUCAGCUCAUCCCUCGACUGCAAAACUCAUCUACCUCCUCGCCUAGCGGCAGUUCGUCCAUUGACUGCAUAGUCCACCUAUCUCGUCCCCCAGCUCGUCUACACCUUCAGCAAACAACUCGGUUUGUCCAACUCGUCUCUCUUCCACGGUUCAUCCAGCUCGUCGCACAUUUGCCGGCUCGUCAACUACCUGCCGACCUACCUCCAAUGACGGCCUAGCUCACUUAUUCUAAUAUGAACUACGUGUGGCUUGAUCCCUUUCUAAGGGUACGUAGGCAACCUUUUACAAGGUUCAGCUAUAAAACGAAUAAACUCUAUUCUUCCUCGGACAUCAAGUUCGUCUUCCGGCCUCAAGCUCACCUUUCAUCUACAAUCAGCUCGUUCUUACUCCAUCUAUGCUCGUUGAAGAAAUCAUCCUUUGUAAUCCGUCCAAUUCGCCUAAGUCGCAGGCUCGUCUUUAAUAGAAAGAUUCUUCUUCCUUCCCUAGAGGUCCCAUUUUCGUACUUGUGUGAUUCGUGCAUCAACAACAGUGACUGUGAUAUUAAUUACACCAACUUCCUUUUAUCUUGUUUUAGUCUUUAAAAAUAUUGAUCCUUAUUCCUUCGUAAAUGCAUGUGAUGCUUUUGGCAUUAAAUCGUGACUAACAAUAUGACCAAUGAUCGGAACCAAUGAUCGGAACCAAAGCUAGAGGUUCAGCUUCCAAAGUUGUCAGUUUAAGUAAAUGCAUGUGAUGUUUUUCUUUGUCAAAUUGGUUGUAAGUUGUAGAUUGUAACAU
RNAcentral lists this small RNA (1299 nucleotides) under Arabidopsis thaliana (thale cress). Its description in RNAcentral is "ATSL187640". Lineage: Eukaryota; Viridiplantae; Streptophyta; Magnoliopsida; Brassicales; Brassicaceae. The record is from RNAcentral.